UGAGGAAUAUUGGUCAAUGGGUGCAAGCCUGAACCAGCCAUCCCGCGUGAAGGACGACUGCCCUAUGGGUUGUAAACUUCUUUUGUAUAGGGAUAAACCUACCCUCGUGAGGGUAGCUGAAGGUACUAUACGAAUAAGCACCGGCUAACUCCGUGCCAGCAGCCGCGGUAAUACGGAGGGUGCAAGCGUUAUCCGGAUUUAUUGGGUUUAAAGGGUCCGUAGGCGGACUUAUAAGUCAGUGGUGAAAGCCUGUCGCUUAACGAUAGAACUGCCAUUGAUACUGUAAGUCUUGAGUAUAUUUGAGGUAGCUGGAAUAAGUAGUGUAGCGGUGAAAUGCAUAGAUAUUACUUAGAACACCAAUUGCGAAGGCAGGUUACCAGAUAUAACUGACGCUGAGGGGCGGAAGCGUGGGGAGCGAACAGGAUUAGAUACCCUGGUAGUCCACGCCGUAAACGAUGCUAACUCGUUUUUGGGCCUUUAGGGUUCAGAGACCAAGCGAAAGUNAUAAGUUAGCCACCUGGGGAGUACGCUCGCAAGAGUG
This 541-nucleotide ribosomal RNA is filed under the name uncultured bacterium. RNAcentral's name for it is "partial 16S ribosomal RNA". It matches the Rfam family "Bacterial small subunit ribosomal RNA", at positions 355 to 896 of the family's 1533-position model. The record is from RNAcentral.